UAACGAACCUUUCCCUUACGAUUAGUAUUAAAGUUUCGAAGCACUUUGAAACUUCUAUCAAUGGCUGUGAUUGGUCGCGCCAUGUUGGCGUCCUCUUAUUUCGACCAAUCAGACUCGUCGUUGUGUGAGCGAGUGCGUCGAUUUGUGGCGCAGUGCAGCAUUCCUCUUCGAAGCUUCGUCUGAUUUCCACGUGUCUGCAACAGACCUGUUCGUGUACUUCGUUAGGUAUCGGCCGAUAGCAGAAUAUACCGAACAUUUCCGAGUGUUGCCGAAGUGCCGACCGGUCUACGAUGGGAAGGAAGGUCUCGCCAUUGCUCUCUCGAGCGUCGAACUGACAGGACGUGUUGAGAGCAGCCUUCCGCAUAAAUAAUAGAUAUUUGAUAGAUUUUGAAAGGACGCCACGACACCUGAUAUGGGUUUGCAAUAUAAUUUCAUAAGAAUUUAUUGUUUUAAUUUAUUCUAAUCAAUUAUUAACGUUUAUUAUUACUUUUUUUUCAUUGAGUCGUUGUUUUUUGAUAGUUAAUUGGUACCAAGGUACCAAGAAAGAAAAGAUUAGAGAUAUUUUUGUUCUUUAAUCAAUUCAUAGGAAAAGAAUAAUUAAUUUUUCAUUUUA
This is a long non-coding RNA of Osmia lignaria (orchard mason bee), 613 nucleotides long. RefSeq lists it as uncharacterized. The record is from RefSeq and is a predicted model, not a curated record. Lineage: Eukaryota; Metazoa; Arthropoda; Insecta; Hymenoptera; Megachilidae.